RNAcentral lists this Y RNA (103 nucleotides) under Saimiri boliviensis boliviensis (Bolivian squirrel monkey). Its description in RNAcentral is "Y RNA (ENSSBOG00000015121.1)". It matches the Rfam family "Y RNA". Rfam says of the family: Y RNAs are components of the Ro ribonucleoprotein particle (Ro RNP), in association with Ro60 and La proteins. The Y RNAs and Ro60 and La proteins are well conserved, but the function of the Ro RNP is not known. The record is from RNAcentral. Lineage: Eukaryota; Metazoa; Chordata; Mammalia; Primates; Cebidae.
AGCUGGUCUGAAGUAGUGAGCCAUCUCAGCUGAUGCCUCACAGUUACAGACCCAACUCCGUUCUGCACAUUCCUCCUUCUCAUUCCUGCACUUGACUAGUGAA